Molecule: ribosomal RNA, 134 nt
Filed under: uncultured Pseudomonadota bacterium
Lineage: Bacteria; Pseudomonadati; Pseudomonadota
Description: uncultured proteobacterium partial 16S ribosomal RNA
Rfam family: Bacterial small subunit ribosomal RNA
Source: RNAcentral
ACUCCUACGGGAGGCAGCAGUGGGGAAUAUUGGACAAUGGGCGCAAGCCUGAUCCAGCAAUGCCGCGUGAGUGAUGAAGGCCCUCGGGUCGUAAAGCUCUUUUACCAGGGAUGAUAAUGACAGUACCUGGAGAA